GUUCUGACAGUAGAAGCUGAGUACGACUGAAAUUAACUGCAGGGGUUUUUUUUUAAUUGCAAUGUGUAACUUAACUACGAAGUGCUUUGAGUUUUGCUAAUACACUUUUAGCCCAUGUCAGUGAUCGUUCCCCAUUUCUGACGCUUUGCUUUUACUGUGCUAUUAUUGUCGGUCCGGAAUUAAACAUGACAAAGCUAUAGUUAAUCAUAAUGUAUUCUUGGAUAUUUAUUUUAAUAACAAUAUUUAUAUAAUUUAAAGUAGGUAAACAGCAAGUUAAAGGUUGAUACAAAAGAACAUGCAAUUCCCGUGAGACCACACACGCACAUUCAAAAUCUAAACUCAAUUCCAGUCAACUCUCAAAUCCAAGGUUAAAAUCACGACGUUAGGGGGCAGUGUAUUUUUUUCUAACCCCUUAACAACAACAAUUUGAAUUGAAUUUUAAGGUUAAAAUAAACUACGCUACGGGGAUUGUGUUUUGUACCGUAGUGCAGUGGAGCAUAUCUUCUCUGUUAUCUAGCAACAUUGCGUUUAUAUUUAUAUAUAAUACUGAAUUCGAAGUCUGGAACAACUUUAGAAAUUAACUAACUGUCGCUGCUAAUUUUCGAGCAAAAAAAUAUGCCACUUCCUGUUCCAUUCACGGCAGUCCCCCAAACUGACCGCUUGGUGUCACACUGGAGGCACAGUAGCUGUGGCGUGGAUCCUUUUACAUGUACAGAAGAACUUGGCAGGCCGACGACAUGUUCGUUCACACGUAUGAACGUCUGUCAGAAAUGUAGCAGGUGUCUCGGAGUUGAUGGAUGUGGAAUGUCCAAGUCAACAAUAUACUGUGAAAUGAACCGAGCUCCAACGUCUCCUCCUUCACGAGGAAACACCCAGAAAUGUGUGAGCAGCACAGCUAACGAUUUAAAACCUCCUACUGUAGUGAAACAUGGCCUUCUCAGUUAUCAGUGGACCAACUAUUUUUAUGACGCAUGCUACUUUGGGACAGAAGGCUCUCUGAUUCUGCUCCUGGAAAUCAGGGGGAGCCUGAAUAUCAAGAGGUCAAAUGAUGCUAAUAACCGCGUCAGUUUGACUGGAGCUGCUCAACACUCCAGUCACCACUAUCUGAAGUCUUGGCACCAGCCAUUUUCUGGACGGUCGCAUUUAUCCUUAUCCUCUAUUGGAUGCAACAUCUCUCCUCCCACUAAAAAGGAGGAGCUGGAGCCAAUCGCCAGACG
This is a long non-coding RNA of Cynoglossus semilaevis (tongue sole), 1217 nucleotides long. RefSeq lists it as uncharacterized. The record is from RefSeq and is a predicted model, not a curated record. Lineage: Eukaryota; Metazoa; Chordata; Actinopteri; Pleuronectiformes; Cynoglossidae. The transcript is spliced from 3 exons.